UCCUGCAGGGACAGAGGUGCCACCAACAGCAGUUUCCUUUCCCCAGCUGUGAUCACAACAAAGCCAACCCCGGGGCUGGAGCUGCUGCCCUGGCAGCCCCGGGGACAUGGGGGGACACAGACAGGGCACAGCACCCCCCAAAGCCAGGCAGGGGGGCACGGAGCCCCCCAGAGCCAGCAGUGCCAAUUAAGGCUGGAGCUCUUGGAAUCUUGGAGCUAUUUACAUCCUUGAUGGAAGUGCAAAUGCUUGAUGGCAAAAAAAAAAACAACCAACCCUUAAAUAUGGUAAUUAAGUAUGAAACUCCUCACAGCUGUUUACAAUUUAGGCUGUCACAUCUGAAUCAAGUUUAAUAGACCCAGCUACUGUCGAGAAUUACCCAGGAACUAAAAAUAUGGACUAAUUAUAUGCCUGUGACUGGGAGCUGUGGUGCACCCAGGGCCCCUGCCCUGGGGAGGGCUGCCUCCAGUCUGGGAGCAGGGAUCACCUCAGCAGCAGGAUGUUCCUGCAUUUUACAGAGCAGGAAAAAGGAAAUUAUUCCUAGUUUUUGCCACAAAAGCCUUUGGAGAACUUUAUUUGGAGGGGGAUGCACUGAGCUGAUGCAGCACUGAGAUAAUUCUUUUAGCAGCAGGAAGAUUUAAAUUUUAAUUUGCAGAGCCAGGCUUAUCUUGGCCGUGCAAGGAUGGGAGCACACGCUGAGCAAAGGAGAGACAACUUGUAGCUCCCAUUCUUCUCUCCAAGGGAAGAAAAGGAGCUGGGAGAGGCAGAGAAUAUUAACAGAGCUGGGGUGGCACGGGGAUGCUGCUGAGGACCAGGCUGGGAGCGGCCUCAGAGGGGUCUGGGACACCAGGGAAGGAUUUGGGGGGCACAGGGGUCUCCCCUGCCCUUCCUCUCCCCUAAAGGCCCCUCGUGGCACAGGGAGGGGGCUCAGUGCCAGCUCUGCUCCACCAGACACCCCAGGGCUCUCCUUGCCCCUCUCCUCUCUCUGUCCCAGCUCCCUUCCCAUGCUGGGGCACGGGGUGGGCAGGGAGAGGUGCCAGGAGGGUCAGAGCUCAGCCCAGAGCCCUUCCCACUGCCAGGCCCCUGCUCUGGGCCCCAGGGCAGGACACAGCCCCAGAGAUGUCACUAAAACUGUGCAGGGAGCUGGGGCUGGGUGCCCUGGGCACCUCCUGCCCAACCCUGCCUGCCCAAGGGGCUCAGGAGGUGCCCAGGAGAUGCCCAGGGCAGGGCUCAGGAGGUGCCCAGGAGAUGCCCAGGGGAUUCAGGAGGUGCCCACGGGAUUCAGGAGGUGCCCAGGGAGCUCAGGAGGUGCCCAGGGGCUCAGGAGAUGCCAGGGCAGGGCUCAGGAGGUGCCCAGGAGAUGCCCAGGGGCUCAGGAGGUGCCAGGGCAGGGCUGCAGCAGGGCAGGGCUCUCCAGGCCCUGGUGCAGGGUCACCCCAGCCUCACCCCAGAGAGGUUUCCAGCAGCCAAGGCACGGAGCCAGCCCCAUUCCAGCUGGGAUGAGCCGUGCCUGAGCCCUCCUCCCAGCCCUGCAGCCCCUCCUC
This is a long non-coding RNA of Onychostruthus taczanowskii (white-rumped snowfinch), 1541 nucleotides long. RefSeq lists it as uncharacterized. The transcript has 3 exons. Lineage: Eukaryota; Metazoa; Chordata; Aves; Passeriformes; Passeridae. The record is from RefSeq and is a predicted model, not a curated record.